RNAcentral lists this ribosomal RNA (473 nucleotides) under uncultured bacterium. RNAcentral's name for it is "bacterial SSU rRNA". It matches the Rfam family "Bacterial small subunit ribosomal RNA", at positions 355 to 825 of the family's 1533-position model. The record is from RNAcentral.
UGGGGAAUUUUCGGACAAUGGGCGCAAGCCUGAUCCAGCCAUGCCGCGUGCGGGAAGAAGGCCUUCGGGUUGUAAACCGCUUUUGUCAGGGAAGAAACGCUCUGGGCUAAUACCCUGGGGUAAUGACGGUACCUGAAGAAUAAGCACCGGCUAACUACGUGCCAGCAGCCGCGGUAAUACGUAGGGUGCAAGCGUUAAUCGGAAUUACUGGGCGUAAAGCGUGCGCAGGCGGUUAUGCAAGACAGAUGUGAAAUCCCCGGGCUCAACCUGGGAACUGCAUUUGUGACUGUAUAGCUAGAGUACGGUAGAGGGGGAUGGAAUUCCGCGUGUAGCAGUGAAAUGCGUAGAUAUGCGGAGGAACACCGAUGGCGAAGGCAAUCCCCUGGACCUGUACUGACGCUCAUGCACGAAAGCUAGGGGAGCAAACAGGAUUAGAUACCCGGGUAGUCCCUGAGCGGGCUGGCAAGGCGCAU